Molecule: unclassified non-coding RNA, 437 nt
Filed under: Myrcia lenheirensis
Lineage: Eukaryota; Viridiplantae; Streptophyta; Magnoliopsida; Myrtales; Myrtaceae
Description: partial external transcribed spacer
Rfam family: Eukaryotic small subunit ribosomal RNA (bases 372-437)
Source: RNAcentral
CAAGUUUUGCUCCAUGAGCUAAUGUGGAUGCGAAAAGCGGGUUCCUGUGUUGCAUACCCUAUUGCGGCGGAAAUUUGUGCCUAUUGUUGUCCCUUUUCAACACGACAUCCUCUUCGGGUGCUCGGUUGGACUAGAUAGUGGGGCUUGUGUUCCUCGAACAUCUCAUUUGAUGGUUCGGAUGGACCGCGAGUGCUUACUUGUCCUCUCGGAUGCGGAACUUUAUUCAUGGGUGUGUUGGGGUCAUUGGCCCUUGUUCCCAAUCUCAAGCGUUUAUCGCUUUACUGGAAUGACGCUCUUGCCUUGUCUUUGACCGCGUUGAGCUCGAGAGCUCCACGAUGGGAUCAUGCUUGGCGGACGUCGUGAAGGAAUGCUACCUGGUUGAUCCUGCCAGUAGUCAUAUGCUUGUCUCAAAGAAUAAGCCAUGCAUGUGAAGAUAA